GAUUUUGGGGGUCAUGGUCCCAUCGGUUUAAGAAUUAGGGGCCCAAAGGGGCCCAAAACAUACAUGUAUCUAGUUUCAGGACAAUAAGUUGUGUAUAAGUAUUUCAAUUACUCUGAAAUUGUACCAAAGUGUUCAUACCAAUAAGUAGAAGGUUGGGAUUUAUUUUAAGGGUUAUGGGGCAAACAGUCUAGGAAUUAAGGGCCAAAAAGGGGCCAAAAACAAGCAUUUUUGAAGUUUCGGGAC
RNAcentral lists this long non-coding RNA (243 nucleotides) under Mytilus galloprovincialis (Mediterranean mussel). The record is from RNAcentral. Lineage: Eukaryota; Metazoa; Mollusca; Bivalvia; Mytilida; Mytilidae.